GCAAUUGCAUGGGCGCGAGGGCUUGCCUAUAUUGGGCGUGCCGGCAACGGCUAUGGCGAUAAAUGGCCAUCGCAAUAAACCCAUCGGACCCGGGGGCAGUACCCGGCGCCUCCACCACUCUCCCCGUUCCUGGACGGGCGCGCGGGGGCGAAACAGGAUCGACGAGGGCGUAAAGGGUGUGUUUUCGCUCGGCAUGGUACCGCCGAUAUCGGACCAUUUUUAUAGUUGCCAAUGACAACUAUGCUGAGGCCCGUCUGGCUGCGUAAGCGGUCCGACACCUCGAAUUGAAGCCCUUCUGCUGUAGCAGGUAGAAGGCGGGGUUCGCAGGCACCUGGCAACAGAAGCCUGCACU
This 352-nucleotide transfer-messenger RNA is filed under the name Arsenicitalea aurantiaca. Its description in RNAcentral is "Alphaproteobacteria transfer-messenger RNA". It matches the Rfam family "Alphaproteobacteria transfer-messenger RNA". From Rfam's summary of the family: Bacterial tmRNA, also known as 10Sa RNA or SsrA, is named for its dual tRNA and mRNA-like properties. Lineage: Bacteria; Pseudomonadati; Pseudomonadota; Alphaproteobacteria; Hyphomicrobiales; Devosiaceae. The record is from Rfam by way of RNAcentral.